This 714-nucleotide long non-coding RNA is filed under the name Solanum tuberosum (potato). Its description in RNAcentral is "long non-coding RNA (STUB_LNC011582)". The record is from RNAcentral. Lineage: Eukaryota; Viridiplantae; Streptophyta; Magnoliopsida; Solanales; Solanaceae.
UUUUAUUUACCAACCCUAGAUUCUUCCCUUUUUUUUAUUUCUCAUCUCUUUCUUCUCCACUUCUCACCAUUGUUGCUGCUACAGUGGAAAUUAAAAAAUGAUAUUUUUUUAUUUUUUCUUUUCAACUUAUACACCUAAAUUAAAUUAAUAAAUAAUAAUAAUAAUUAUAAUUAAUUAAAAAAAAACGUCUUUUCCCCAUCUUCCUCCCUCCAAUUGUUCUUCCAUAUUUUUCCCUUUUUUUUUUAUUUUUUAUGUAGAUCUAAUUAAGGUCUUAAAUAUUCCGACAAAGCUCCAUUGUUUCCGAUGAAAAUAAUAUUCCAACAAAGUUAUUGAUUAUUUUUUUAUGUAAUUGUGAUAAUGAUGACUAGUGAAAGAAGAUGAAGACCAUGAAUGAAAGGUUUAAUACCAAUAGAAUGAAAGGUGAUUGAGGGGUUAGCUUAGAUGGAUAGCAAUGGUAUAUUAUUGACGCCGGUGAAAGGGAUAAGAUUCGAUUGAGAAGAAGAAAUGGGUGGAGGCUAUGAUUUAGUGGCAGUUGAGGUGCAGUGUCUCAAUGCUUAGGAAUUAAGAUCCGACACAUUGAAAAUGGAAAUAAGUAGCGGUUGAGGUGCAGCGGCACUGUGGAAUUGGAAAUAAGUUCCAAUGGAGAAGAAGAAGGGUGGAGUGGGGGUGGGUUAAUUUAAUAUAUAUUUUUGUUUUCUUGAAGUUCCUUUUGAA